GAUGAACGCUGGCGGCGUGCCUAAUACAUGCAAGUCGAGCGAACAGACGAGGAGCUUGCUCCUCUGACGUUAGCGGCGGACGGGUGAGUAACACGUGGAUAACCUACCUAUAAGACUGGGAUAACUUCGGGAAACCGGAGCUAAUACCGGAUAAUAUAUUGAACCGCAUGGUUCAAUAGUGAAAGACGGUUUUGCUGUCACUUAUAGAUGGAUCCGCGCCGCAUUAGCUAGUUGGUAAGGUAACGGCUUACCAAGGCAACGAUGCGUAGCCGACCUGAGAGGGUGAUCGGCCACACUGGAACUGAGACACGGUCCAGACUCCUACGGGAGGCAGCAUUAGGGAAUCUUCCGCAAUGGGCGAAAGCCUGACGGAGCAACGCCGCGUGAGUGAUGAAGGUCUUCGGUUCGUAAAACUCUGUUAUUAGGGAAGAACAAAUGUGUAAGUAACUAUGCACGUCUUGACGGUACCUAAUCAGAAAGCCACGGCUAACUACGUG
Molecule: ribosomal RNA, 497 nt
Filed under: uncultured bacterium
Lineage: Bacteria
Description: partial 16S ribosomal RNA
Rfam family: Bacterial small subunit ribosomal RNA
Source: RNAcentral